GGAUAUGAAGUUCUCAGUAAGCAACAACGAAAUUCUGAAUUGUUCUUCCUUAAGUUCCUUUAUCAUUCACUUCAAAUUCAGAAGAAUGAGGCAAUGUGAGAUUGUACCACAUCCUAAUAGAGAAACUAUAAAGUAGAAGAAAAUCGUAGUCAGCAUGAUAGAAACUAGUUAGGAGAACUCAAUUUACAAUUAAGUUUGAUUCAGUAGCAAGCCAAGAAUUAAAUGAAUAUAGCUCCACGUUAAAGCAAACGGGUUAAUAUGACAUGUUUAUAAGGAAAUAAAUUACUUGCUUACUGUUGAUCAACAACCAAAAAUUAGACCAUGAAAGAGCGGCCUGUGAUUAAGUCGAUGAUGGACUGGAAGAUUACUAGAUUGUGAUCAACACUAAAUUAUCUGUCUCUUCGGAUGAACACCACCUGAUGUCACAAAUAUUUCCGAAUUCGAUAAAUGAUAUAUGAAGUAUCCAGAAAGCAACUAUAAAUUUCUGAAUUAUUGUUCAUUAAGAAUGCUAUGAGUGAUGGAACCACUGCUUAAAAGAGAAAGUAGUAUGAAAUAGAAGAAAAUAGUAGUACGCAUCAUAGGUGAAACUCAUUUAACGUUAAAUGAUUGUAAAUACCGGCAGAUAAGAUAAUUUAAGAGAGUGAGAACAUCGCUAUAUGUAGAACAUCAUAAGGCAAUGGAAACAAAAAUGUUCAGAAAUUGAAGAAAACGUAUAAAGAUUACACAAAGUCACCUCCCAUCCCGCUUAUAUGCAAAUUAGGAGAGAGGAGCGGGGACAAUGGAGUCUAACCUUAUUCUUUUUAUACGGAAGUUAAUUUUAUAGUAAUUAGAUAAGUGCGACGAAUUCAAGUUCUGCCACAUUAAAUAAGAGCAAAAGAGUCAAGCUGUCAAUUUAGUCAUAAAAACAAGUAGCUACAUAAAUUAAAGGCAGUAAAGACUAAAUAGCUGGGAUAAUUGAAGUUUUGAAGCAAAAGCAAGGCAAGAGCAGAAUAGGACAUAGCUUCAAGCUAAAUCAUUCAACUACGGGAAUGAUUUUUGGAAGUUAACGAGGCCAUUGAAGACUUCAUUGUUCUUUCAGUUGUAAACAUAAUGAUCAAAAAGCAAAUGAAGUCUUCAAUUGCCUCAUCAUUUUCCAAAAAUCAUUUUUUCACAAUCCAACCAAUGAACCUUGUCCACGUUUCUACAUUUCUAUUUUUUCACAAUCCAUCCAAUGAACCUUGUCGGCGUUUCUCCAUUUCUCAUCAACUCCAAGAGUAUAAACCUCCAAUUCAGACACUUUUGGACUUUCAAGAAAAUUUCUAAUUACUAAUUUAAAUCUCAAU
RNAcentral lists this long non-coding RNA (1322 nucleotides) under Capsicum annuum. RNAcentral describes it as "long non-coding RNA (CANN_LNC018175)". Lineage: Eukaryota; Viridiplantae; Streptophyta; Magnoliopsida; Solanales; Solanaceae. The record is from RNAcentral.